CUCAGCAGUUUAGGGGUUGACUUCCCACAAUCAACCAGCUCCCACUCAGACUUCAACAUCUGCAGUCAUCUCUCCUUAACACUGGGUCCAUGGAGGUUUCCCAAGCCAACUGCUGCACAUCAGGGUCCAGGGAACCUUGUGGGUGGAAAGCACAAGAUAGGAACAGAGGUUGUAGUCCCUGUGGUUUGUGAAGAUUAGAGAUGUUUCAGAUAAGUAACCCUGCAGGAUCUCCACUCCACCUACAGCCAACCAGGGACCAGGUGAGACCUUUGGCAUAUUUGGACCCUGACAAUCAGGACAUCCCAGGAAGCAAUCCGUGACAUCCUUGGAUGAAGUCCUUGCCUGUGUAGAGCCAGAGCAUUCUGAUUAACAGCUGUCUCUGAAAGAGCACAGCAGCUCCCCAAGUAAAGGCUGGGCAGACAGAACAAGAAAAUUAAGAGGACAAAUGUGGAGCAACGGGCUACGCACAGACAGCCUGCUUUCCAGUUGAGGCUAGAUC
Molecule: long non-coding RNA, 499 nt
Filed under: Mus spicilegus (steppe mouse)
Lineage: Eukaryota; Metazoa; Chordata; Mammalia; Rodentia; Muridae
Description: lncRNA (ENSMSIG00000027880.1)
Source: RNAcentral